GACGAACGCUGGCGGCGUGCUUAACACAUGCAAGUCGAACGGAAAGGCCUGUCCUUCCUUGUGUUGGACGGGUACUCGAGUGGCGAACGGGUGAGUAACACGUGAGUGAUCUGCCCCCAACUUGGGUAUAAGCCUGGGAAACUGGGUCUAAUUCCCGAUAGGACUGCAGGGUGGUGCCUGUGGUGGCAAACGAUUUUCUAGUGGUUGGGGAUGAGCUCGCGGCCUAUCAGCUUGUUGGUGGGGUAAUGGCCUACCAAGGCGGCGACGGGUAGCCGGCCUGAGAGGGUGGACGGCCACAUUGGGACUGAGAUACGGCCCAGACUCCUACGGGAGGCAGCAGUGGGGAAUAAUGCACAAUGGGCGGAAGCCUGAUGCAGCGACGCCGCGUGGGGGAUGACGGCCUUCGGGUUGUAAACUCCUUUCGACCGCGAGGAAGCCGCCUGGUUGGAAGGGUGGUGACGGUAGUGGUAGAAGAAGCACCGGCUAACUACGUG
Molecule: ribosomal RNA, 494 nt
Filed under: uncultured bacterium
Lineage: Bacteria
Description: partial 16S ribosomal RNA
Rfam family: Bacterial small subunit ribosomal RNA
Source: RNAcentral